CGUCUAUAUACGUAUAGCAUAUCAAUAAGCGGAGGAAAAGAAACUAACUAGGAUUCCCUCAGUAACGGCGAGUGAAGCGGGAAGAGCUCAAAUUUGAAAUCUUCAAGGUUCUACCUUGACGAAUUGUAGUUUAAAGAAGUGUUUUCUGUUGGAGUUUUGGUAAAAGUUCUUUGGAAUAGGACAUCAUAGAGGGUGAGAAUCCCGUAUUUGACCAUUAUUUCCAACUUUGUGAUACACUUUCAAAGAGUCGGAUUGUUUGGGAAUGCAGUCUAAAAUGGGUGGUAAAUUUCAUCUAAAGCUAAAUACUGGCGAGAGACCGAUAGCGAACAAGUACCGUGAGGGAACGAUGAAAAGAACUUUGAAAAGAGAGUUAAACAGUACGUGAAAUUGUCAAAAGGGAAGCGUUUGACACCAGUAGUUGUUUUCUCGAAAAUCAAUUAAAAAUGGUGGGAUUUUGUGUUGUAUUGACUUUAUCAGCUUUCUGCACUUUUUUCCUGUCUUUUUUAAUGCACUUUUCGUUUAACAAGUCAACAUCAAUUUCUUUUGUUGUAAAAGGGUCAUUGGAAGGUGGCUUUCUUUUCGGAGAAAGUGUUUAUAGCCUUUGGCCUCUGCAAUCGGAGAGAUUGAGGUCUGCAGCGUAGAUCCUUCGGGGUUAGAUGCAUUUGUGCUAAGCUAUAGCCUUUCAUAGACAACUUGUUGACUAUGAUCAGUCAUGUAGCUUACUCGCUUAUGUCAUUUUACCUACGCUUAGGAUGUUGAUCUGUAGUGCGUGCGC
Molecule: ribosomal RNA, 775 nt
Filed under: uncultured Neocallimastigales
Lineage: Eukaryota; Fungi; Neocallimastigomycota; Neocallimastigomycetes; Neocallimastigales
Description: partial large subunit ribosomal RNA
Rfam family: Eukaryotic large subunit ribosomal RNA
Source: RNAcentral